UCCGCUUCCGGCCCGUUCCAUUCGGGAACACUCGUGCUGGGAUGCGGCGGGAUCCUCGUCGGAGCGCUGUGCCAGGGACAGCUCCCGGUUCUGCGCGAAUCCUGGGGCGCUCAGGUCACAGGAUAUACUGGGAUUGAGAGGGUUCCUGAAAUCCGACUCUCGAGGACACGGCCCGUGGGAGAAUUGAACUCACAACCUUGGCACUACCUGGACUGUGCUCCAACUGACUGAGCCCUCUGCAUCACAGCUGCGGGGAACGGGGGGCAGGAGGAGGCCAGGAGUCCCCGAAAGGCAUCCAGCACCUCUUGUCCAUGGGCCCUCGGGGCAGGGGCUGUGCCUGCAGCGUCCUGCCCGUGCCGAGCACACGGCCCGGGAUGGGCGCUGGGUGCCCGACCGGCGCUGGCACGGACACGGCUCAAGGGCUGCCCAUGGCUCCCGGGCCGGGGGCUGCUCUGAGCAGGCUCCUGGAGAUGCUCCAGCCUGGAUACAGGCCACUGACAGCCCAAAAGCAGCCCAAGGAGCAGCUGGCGUGUCCUGGUGAUGGUGGCACGGGCUGCGUGCAGAGGGGCUCAGACAGCAAUUCCUGGUUCCAGCCUCCCAGAGCUCCCAGGCAGCUGCCAGCUAUUAAAUGCCAACCGACAGCCUGCAGAGAUGCCUUCAAAUCAAAGGUUCAGGUGGGAUGAAGUUUUGUUUGGACGAAGGUGGGAGUUUCCAGGGAGCCAGCUGGAAGUGCAGAAGGGAUGGAAAGCUUUCCCAGGUGCUGGACUUGCCUCUGUGGAUGUGCACUGAGCUCUCACAGCAGGGGACUGUCAGUUCUGACUGACUCUGUUCCCUGACGUGAUUUCCCCUGCCUCACUUCUGUGCAGCUCCUAGCUGGGGAAAACUGGGAUAACUUAGAGGGGACAGAGGUGAAACUUUUAGCUGGAUUUUUCUAAAAUUUUCUAAUGAUACUGAAAUUAUUUCCAAUUGCCCCAGUGAGAAGAACACCAACUUGCAGGCAUCAAAAGCUCCAAACUCGUUUAAUUGAGCUUGAAGAAACUUGAAGAAGGAAUUUGGAUGUAUAAAAACAAGCUGAGAAGAGCAUCAGUGUGUUCACUGGCAGCACGGGCUGGGAUGAGGGCUGAGCAGGACCCAAGCUGCAGCACAUCAUCCAUUCAGCUUUCACCUCAUGUUUUAUCACGGCCUUUAUGAGACAGAUGUGAAUCGAUGAGUCCCAGGCCGAGCCGUGCCCGUGCCCUGUUCUGUCGGAGCUGGUGCUUUCCUGACAGGUUCACCAGCCACACUCUGUAAUAAAUACUCCUGGGUCUGCUGCUGUU
Oenanthe melanoleuca is the source of this 1316-nucleotide long non-coding RNA. RefSeq lists it as uncharacterized. Lineage: Eukaryota; Metazoa; Chordata; Aves; Passeriformes; Muscicapidae. The record is from RefSeq and is a predicted model, not a curated record. The transcript is spliced from 7 exons.